AAAGGAUCCCAUGACUGGCGGCAGUGGAAUUAACCACAGGGGAGUGGGAUCAAUAGGGAAUGCCGACCGCCUGGGCAAAAUAA
This 83-nucleotide non-coding RNA is filed under the name Thermovenabulum gondwanense. RNAcentral describes it as "ZTP sequence". It matches the Rfam family "ZMP/ZTP riboswitch aptamer (pfl RNA motif)". From Rfam's summary of the family: Previously known as pfl RNA. ZMP is also known as AICAR. Lineage: Bacteria; Bacillati; Bacillota; Clostridia; Thermosediminibacterales; Thermosediminibacteraceae. The record is from Rfam by way of RNAcentral.